AUUGAACGCUGGCGGCAGGCCUAACACAUGCAAGUCGAACGGCAACAGGAAACAGCUUGCUGUUUCGCUGACGAGUGGCGGGCGGGUGAGUAAUGUCUGGGAAACUGCCUGAUGGAGGGGGAUAAUUACUGGAAACGGUAGCUAAUACCGCAUAACGUCGCAAGACCAAAGAGGGGGACCCUCGGGCCUCUUGCCAUCGGAUGUGCCCAGAUGGGAUUAGCUUGUUGGUGGGGUAACGGCUCACCAAGGCGACGAUCCCUAGCUGGUCUGAGAGGAUGACCAGCCACACUGGAACUGAGACACGGUCCAGACUCCUACGGGAGGCAGCAGUGGGGAAUAUUGCACAAUGGGCGCAAGCCUGAUGCAGCCAUGCCGCGUGUAUGAAGAAGGCCUUCGGGUUGUAAAGUACUUUCAGCGGGGAGGAAGGGAGUAAAGUUAAUACCUUUGCUCAUUGACGUUACCCGCAGAAGAAGCACCGGCUAACUCCGUG
Molecule: ribosomal RNA, 490 nt
Filed under: uncultured bacterium
Lineage: Bacteria
Description: partial 16S ribosomal RNA
Rfam family: Bacterial small subunit ribosomal RNA
Source: RNAcentral